GCCCUGCCAGAAUGGUGGAUAUGACCCUCGGCUUGUAACCGAGCGGACUCGGGUUCGAAUCCCGAAUAAGGCA
This 73-nucleotide transfer RNA is filed under the name Trichonephila inaurata madagascariensis. RNAcentral's name for it is "tRNA-Thr". It matches the Rfam family "tRNA". Rfam says of the family: Transfer RNA (tRNA) molecules are approximately 80 nucleotides in length. The record is from RNAcentral. Lineage: Eukaryota; Metazoa; Arthropoda; Arachnida; Araneae; Nephilidae.